Long non-coding RNA from Xenia sp. Carnegie-2017, 512 nucleotides. RefSeq lists it as uncharacterized. The record is from RefSeq and is a predicted model, not a curated record. The transcript is spliced from 3 exons. NCBI's taxonomy places the organism in Eukaryota, Metazoa, Cnidaria, Anthozoa, Malacalcyonacea, Xeniidae.
GUAUUCAAUGUUUUUACCACAGGAUAAGAAAAAAUAUAGUUGAAACAGCACUAUUUGUUUGUAUGUAACUUAUGUCUUCUUGUGCACGUGAUCAACGAAAUGGCUGCCGGUCAAUUAUGUUUUCUGGCCAAAAGGAACGCCGAAAUGGCUUACCGCAACCUGUCAUCAUAUACAAUAUAAAACAACAAUUUGCCUCGUGAAGUAUAUCCCCUCUUCUCAGUACUUUGUACCUUUACGUCUACUGUUUUAUUUCCAUACCACAAUAUAGUCGUUUGUGCAAGUUAUACAAACAUGUUGCUUAAAUAGAGAGGUGUGCAGCUAUAUAGAAAUUGAUUGCAAACGAUUGCAUUGUAGAUAAUUUUUUAAUAAUCAAAAUUAAUGUUCACCGUUUCAUCACAGACCAGUAUCAUAUCACCAGCCACUCAAAUUUUGGAUUUAAGAGCUCUGGAAAUUUAACGCUUUGUCGACAACGAUGUAACACACUGUAGUCUUGAAUUAAAGAAGAUAGCCGA